Molecule: long non-coding RNA, 667 nt
Organism: Protopterus annectens (West African lungfish)
Lineage: Eukaryota; Metazoa; Chordata; Ceratodontiformes; Protopteridae
Exons: 4
Source: RefSeq, a predicted model, not a curated record
AGAUUUUUGGGUUACCACUGGUGAAAAAAAUAGCCUAUGAAAAUCAGAUGCUUACUGUUUAUGUGGAUGAGAUGAGGCAGCUGCAGUUAUUGGAAUUUUCCUUAAUUUUGAAGCAAGAUUUUAUUGUGAAUAAUCUACAGCUGGGUACUAUAAGAAUCUAUGACUACUAUGCUACAGAGGAAUCUGCCAUCAUUCAGUACGGAUCACCGGAUUGUAGAGGAGAUAACUGAAGUAAGAUGGUUGCUGAAUGAAAUGUGACGACAACUUUCCCAAACUUCUUGAAGGAACAAAACAUUGCUAUAUAAAACAUUUUCCCUUUUCCUGCACAGUGCCAAAAGGAAAAAAAAUCUAAACCACAUAAAUGUUGUUUACAUAGAAGUAUCAUUUGAUUUGCAUGCAUUAAUUUGUAAUAAACUUGUGAAAUAUGGUGUGAUGAAGUAAUAUUUAUGUGCACUGUAACUGGUGAUCUGUCUUACCUAAACAACAACAAAAAUGCAUUCUGAGCCCUUGAGACUCUUUCAGCCAGAGUAUUCAGAUGAAAUGAUGCACACACUCAUAUAUAUAUAUAUAUAUAUAUAUAUAUAUAUAUAUAAUGCUUCUGUUUAAUAACAAUCUUCUGGCAUGUACAGGCUUCAAAUAAUUAUUACAAUAAAUAAGCAAUACAAAA